RNAcentral lists this long non-coding RNA (358 nucleotides) under Paramuricea clavata. Lineage: Eukaryota; Metazoa; Cnidaria; Anthozoa; Malacalcyonacea; Plexauridae. The record is from RNAcentral.
UGCUAUUUGAAAAGGAAGUUUUGUUAUUUGAAAACUAAGGGAGUUUUGCUAUUUGAAAAGGGUGUUUUGCUAUUUGAAAAGGGUGUUUUGCUAUUUGAAAAGGGAGGUUUGCUAUUUUAAAAGGGAGUUUUGCUAUUUGAAAAGGGAGUUUUGCUAUUUGAAAAGGGAGUUUUGCUAUUUGAAAAGCGAGGUUUGCUAUUUGAAAAGGGAGUUUUGCUAUUUGAAAAGGGAGUUUUGCUAUUUGAAAAGGGUGUUUUGCUAUUUGAAAAGGGAGUUUUGCUAUUUGAAAAGGGUGUUUUGCUUUUUGAAAAGGGUGUUUUGCUAUUUGAAAAGGGUGUUUUGCUAUUUAAAAACGGAG